Molecule: ribosomal RNA, 1343 nt
Filed under: uncultured bacterium
Lineage: Bacteria
Description: 16S ribosomal RNA
Rfam family: Bacterial small subunit ribosomal RNA
Source: RNAcentral
GACGAACGCUGGCGGCGUGCUUAACACAUGCAAGUCGAACGGAAAGGCCCUGCUUUUGUGGGGUGCUCGAGUGGCGAACGGGUGAGUAACACGUGAGUAACCUGCCCUUGACUUUGGGAUAACUCCAGGAAACUGGGGCUAAUACCGGAUAGGAGCUCCUGCUGCAUGGUGGGGGUUGGAAAGUUUCGGCGGUUGGGGAUGGACUCGCGGCUUAUCAGCUUGUUGGUGGGGUAGUGGCUUACCAAGGCUUUGACGGGUAGCCGGCCUGAGAGGGUGACCGGCCACAUUGGGACUGAGAUACGGCCCAGACUCCUACGGGAGGCAGCAGUGGGGAAUAUUGCACAAUGGGCGGAAGCCUGAUGCAGCAACGCCGCGUGCGGGAUGACGGCCUUCGGGUUGUAAACCGCUUUCGCCUGUGACGAAGCGUGAGUGACGGUAAUGGGUAAAGAAGCACCGGCUAACUACGUGCCAGCAGCCGCGGUGAUACGUAGGGUGCGAGAGUUGUCCGGAUUUAUUGGGCGUAAAGGGCUCGUAGGUGGUUGAUCGCGUCGGAAGUGUAAUCUUGGGGCUUAACCCUGAGCGUGCCUUCGAUACGGGUUGACUUGAGGAAGGUAGGGGAGAAUGGAAUUCCUGGUGGAGCGGUGGAAUGCGCAGAUAUCAGGAGGAACACCAGUGGCGAAGGCGGUUCUCUGGGCCUUUCCUGACGCUGAGGAGCGAAAGCGUGGGGCGCGAACAGGCUUAGAUACCCUGGUAGUCCACGCUGUAAACGGUGGGUACUAGGUGUGGGGUCCAUUCCACGGGUUCCGUGCCGUAGCUAACGCUUUAAGUACCCCGCCUGGGGAGUACGGCCGCAAGGCUAAAACUCAAAGGAAUUGACGGGGCCCCGCACAAGCGGCGGAGCAUGCGGAUUAAUUCGAUGCAACGCGUAGAACCUUACCUGGGUUUGACAUGGAUCGGGAGUGCUCAGAGAUGGGUGUGCCUCUUUUGGGGUCGGUUCACAGGUGGUGCAUGGCUGUCGUCAGCUCGUGUCGUGAGAUGUUGGGUUAAGUCCCGCAACGAGCGCAACCCUUGUUCACUGUUGCCAGCACGUUAUGGUGGGGACUCAGUGGAGACCGCCGGGGUCAACUCGGAGGAAGGUGGGGAUGACGUCAAGUCAUCAUGCCCCUUAUGUCCAGGGCUUCACGCAUGCUACAAUGGCUGGUACAGAGAGUGGCGAGCCUGUGAGGGUGAGCGAAUCUCGGAAAGCCGGUCUCAGUUCGGAUUGGGGUCUGCAACUCGACCUCAUGAAGUCGGAGUCGCUAGUAAUCGCAGAUCAGCAACGCUGCGGUGAAUACGUUCCCGGG